GACGAACGCUGGCGGCGUGCUUAACACAUGCCAGUCGAACGGACAGGCCCUGCUUUUGUGGGGUGCUCGAGUGCCGAACGGGUGAGUAACACGUGAGUAACCUCCCCUUGACUUUGGGAUAACUUCAGGAAACUGGGGCUAAUACCGGAUAGGAGCUCCUGCUGCAUGGUGGUGGUUGGAAAGUUUCGGCGGUUGGGGAUGGACUCGCGGCUUAUCAGCUUGUUGGUGGGGUAGUGGCUUACCAAGUCUUUGACGGGUAGCCGGCCUGAGAGGGUGAACGGCCACAUUGGGACUGAGAUACGGAGCAGACUGCUACGGGAGGCAGCAGUGGGGAAUAUUGCACAAUGGGCGGAAGCCAGAGGCAGCAACGCCGUGUGCGGGAUGACGGGCUUCGGGUUGUGAACCGCUUUCGCCUGUGACGAAGCGGGAGUGACGGUAAUGGGUAAAGAAGCAACGGCUAACUACGUG
RNAcentral lists this ribosomal RNA (468 nucleotides) under uncultured bacterium. RNAcentral's name for it is "partial 16S ribosomal RNA". It matches the Rfam family "Bacterial small subunit ribosomal RNA", at positions 28 to 507 of the family's 1533-position model. The record is from RNAcentral.